GAUAAACGCUGGCGGCGUGCCUAAUACAUGCAAGUCGAGCGAACGGACGAGAAGCUUGCUUCUCUGAUGUUAGCGGCGGACGGGUGAGUAACACGUGGAUAACCUACCUAUAAGACUGGGAUAACUUCGGGAAACCGGAGCUAAUACCGGAUAAUAUUUUGAACCGCAUGGUUCAAAAGUGAAAGACGGUCUUGCUGUCACUUAUAGAUGGAUCCGCGCUGCAUUAGCUAGUUGGUAAGGUAACGGCUUACCAAGGCAACGAUGCAUAGCCGACCUGAGAGGGUGAUCGGCCACACUGGAACUGAGACACGGUCCAGACUCCUACGGGAGGCAGCAGUAGGGAAUCUUCCGCAAUGGGCGAAAGCCUGACGGAGCAACGCCGCGUGAGUGAUGAAGGUCUUCGGAUCGUAAAACUCUGUUAUUAGGGAAGAACAUAUGUGUAAGUAACUGUGCACAUCUUGACGGUACCUAAUCAGAAAGCCACGGCUAACUACGUGCCAGCAGCCGCGGUAAUACGUAGGUGGCAAGCGUUAUCCGGAAUUAUUGGGCGUAAAGCGCGCGUAGGCGGUUUUUUAGUCUGAUGUGAAAGCCCACGGCUCAACCGUGGAGGGUCAUUGGAAACUGGAAAACUUGAGUGCAGAAGAGGAAAGUGGAAUUCCACGUGUAGCGGUGAAGUGCACAGAGAUAUGGAGGAACACCAGUGGCGAAGGCGACUUUCUGGUCUGUAACUGACGCUGAUGUGCGAAAGCGUGGGGAUCAAACAGGAUUAGAUACCCUGGUAGUCCACGCCGUAAACGAUGAGUGCUAAGUGUUAGGGGGUUUCCGCCCCUUAGUGCUGCAGCUAACGCAUUAAGCACUCCGCCUGGGGAGUACGACCGCAAGGUUGAAACUCAAAGGAAUUGACGGGGACCCGCACAAGCGGUGGAGCAUGUGGUUUAAUUCGAAGCAACGCGAAGAACCUUACCAAAUCUUGACAUCCUUUGACAACUCUAGAGAUAGAGCCUUCCCCUUCGGGGGACAAAGUGACAGGUGGUGCAUGGUUGUCGUCAGCUCGUGUCGUGAGAUGUUGGGUUAAGUCCCGCAACGAGCGCAACCCUUAAGCUUAGUUGCCAUCAUUAAGUUGGGCACUCUAAGUUGACUGCCGGUGACAAACCGGAGGAAGGUGGGGAUGACGUCAAAUCAUCAUGCCCCUUAUGAUUUGGGCUACACACGUGCUACAAUGGACAAUACAAAGGGCAGCGAAACCGCGAGAUCAAGCAAAUCCCAUAAAGUUGUUCUCAGUUCGGAUUGUAGUCUGCAACUCGACUACAUGAAGCUGGAAUCGCUAGUAAUCGUAGAUCAGCAUGCUACGGUGAAUACGUUCCCGGGUCU
RNAcentral lists this ribosomal RNA (1371 nucleotides) under uncultured bacterium. RNAcentral's name for it is "16S ribosomal RNA". It matches the Rfam family "Bacterial small subunit ribosomal RNA", at positions 28 to 1381 of the family's 1533-position model. The record is from RNAcentral.